RNAcentral lists this unclassified non-coding RNA (2731 nucleotides) under Leishmania donovani. Its description in RNAcentral is "gene:LdHU3.05.0360(CDS-product:hypothetical_prote in_conserved)". The record is from RNAcentral. Lineage: Eukaryota; Euglenozoa; Kinetoplastea; Trypanosomatida; Trypanosomatidae.
UCCUUUGCUAACUCACCUGCCUACACAGAACGGUGGGGGUGGCGGCGCCCCAGAAACCUCUCAAGAGGGGGACCCGAGAACGCUGGCACCUUCACUAUCGCAGACGACGGCCUACGCCGUUCGCGCGAUGGACAGCGCCACAUGCAUCCCGUCUCGUGUUCUCCACUUACCCGCACCACUGCUGCAGCCACGCGGCUCGAGAUGGGCAUCCGUGCAGCCGUCGCCCGAUCGCGCUAGUCUGCUGCUCUGCGGUCGCCAUGAGUGUCAGCUGCUUUCCGUGUCGUCCUUCGCGCUGCAGGUGCCGCGUGCGGCUGUCUUGGCGCAGCCGUCCAGCAGCAUCAGGGAAGAGGACACGCGUCGCUCGGUGGCGCAGCAGUGGAACGAGCGUGGUUCUGCUCCUGGCAACUCUGCCGUUGGAGGACGGGGACGGUGCAUUGUCCUGCCGCAGCCGCACCGCGACCUCACCUCCUCAUGCUGGCUCUCUGCGGGUCUCGACACAGGCAACGAAGACGACGACGAGGCAGCCGCGAGCGACGACAUUGCCCCUGGUGCGGUGGUAGGACUCGGCGAUGCCGCCUCAGUGGUGACGAUCAUGCGCCCCUCACCCCUCAGCAGAGCAUUAUCGCCUCAUGGCACGGCCGCCAGGUGGCUGCAGGCCACCAUCUUCCUCAAGGACGAGGAGGACGCGGUGUUUGCGGGGGGCACACCCUUGACGUGGAACCACCAGCGCCAUGAUCACCACGGUCGCCUCGGCAAGGCCACGGCGCUCGGGCGGCCGUGCCAGUGGGGGCGUACUCCGCCGUUAGCACCAGCUUGGAAGGCGGUAGAGGCGGUCCUGCCGUGCAGCUAUGUGCCUAGCCACUCCAGCGGUGGGCAGACGGACAUGCACAUCCUCUGCCAGCGCGUGGAUGAGGUUUACGAAGGCAGCGGCGUUGCCGCCGGAGGACGCUCCGCGAGACGACCGUGCAGUGGCGUGUGGUUAGCCUCGGUGCAACGCGAGUCGGCGUGGCGAGUGCCGUUGGCAAUGCCACCCGGAGAAGAAGACGUAAUGGACAGCGGUGGAGAUGGUGCUGCUGCGCGCUCUUUAGCAGAGGCGCGGCACGUCGUGCGGCGAUCACCGCGCUUGUUCGACGUACGCCGGCGCAUGCCGCCUGCCCUCCAACACGCUCCACCGCACCAGCCGUCGCACCUUUGCCCCGCAACGAUGCCGGCGCCGGCGCAUCAGCGCGCGAGUAACGCUGCGACAGGGCCGAUGGGUCUUGUCUUCGCUGCCGCGUUUCGUCGCCACGUUGGCCUCUACACCGCCGCGACAGUCACCCCGACGGUCUUCUUUGAGCUGCCGUCGUGGCUGACGGGAGGCGGUGGCACUGCCCCCGCUGCCGCCACCUCGUCACCAAGCCAGUGUUCGAGUUGGUGCGUGACGUCUGUGGUGGAAGAGCCAUCCCUCGUGGCGCCAGCAGCAGUCCCGCAAACAUCAAACGGUGGUGGCAGCGGCUACUCGUACCUCGUGACGGCGAUGCAUAAUGAGCGGGGCAAGCGGCGGAGCCGUCCUUACCCGGUUCACGCAAAGGUAUCUCAUGUCGAUGAGUCAUGGCAGAGCGACGGGGACAACAACGGCAGCGGCGACGGCAGCUGCUACUGUUCGCCCCUCUCCUCGUCCGGCAGCUGCUGGUGGCUGCUGUAUGACUGCAGGAACCCGUCCCGCCCGGUGUGGGUCGCUGAAGAGGCGCUCGCGGCACCGCCCGCGCUCGACGAGGAUGACCUAUGGCACGAUGCGCCCGUAGUGACGGAGUGGCUCGCAUCGACGUCGCCCGCGUCUCACGCUAGCCUCCGCCGCAGUCCGGUGUGCGCGACAUACGUCCCGCUUGCAACGACUUCCGCGGAAGGCUCGAGUGCCCUUGGGGUGCUGUCUGCGUGCGGCGUUUGUUUAGUGCUCGAUGGUGGGGCGACGAUGCCCGACGGCGCGGGCUUGGAUGCGGAGGACGACGACGACGUGGAAGGCGAGGAGGCAGCGGACGUGUUUGCCCCCAUCAUGUAUGAGCUGUCGCCCCCACGCUCUCUGCUAUCACCAACACUCAGCGCUCAUCGGGAAGUGAUUGCGAAGCCGCCACGGGUGCGGGCGCUGACGUUCACCGACGGCGUGCUUCACUACGCGUGCGAGGAGGCGCUUUAGCUGCCGAGGUGGAUGGGGGGGGGGGGGGGAAGAGGCGGAGUCGGGUUGGAGGAGCCGAAGCAUUCUCUGUGGCACCCGCGAAAUGCCUGGCCGUCACGCCCCUCUCCCCGCCUGCCCGCCCCGCCAACCUCCGGGGGAACGCGGCGCACGCCUCUUUUCCCUCUGCCGCCAAGACGUCAGCCAAAGGCCAACGUGACGAAAUCGGAACGAUGUAGAAGACGCCAGAGGAUGGCGCGCCGUGAGCAGCCUUACCAGGUGUGUCAUGGCCGCGACCCACGUGGCGGAGAGGGGAGAGGGUGCGCCCGGACGGGGCCAUGAGGAAGUGGCAAGCGCGUCGGCUCUGCGCUGGCGGACGAAGGGAGAGGAACGGUGUCUACGUGACCUCCCCGUCGUCCACUCCCCUCCACCGCCGACUAUCCUACACGGCCGUGCUUGGGGAGGUGCCGCCAUCAUCUCCCAGCAACGCAUCGUCGUUGACUCCUCACCCCCUCCAAGCCCUUCGCCCACUUCGUGUACCUCUUCUUUUCGCUACCCCGUCCACCGCCUCCCUCACGCCAG